This 499-nucleotide ribosomal RNA is filed under the name uncultured bacterium. RNAcentral describes it as "partial 16S ribosomal RNA". It matches the Rfam family "Bacterial small subunit ribosomal RNA", at positions 28 to 507 of the family's 1533-position model. The record is from RNAcentral.
GACGAACGCUGGCGGCGUGCCUAAUACAUGCAAGUCGAGCGAAGUUUUUCUGGUGCUUGCACUAGAAAAACUUAGCGGCGAACGGGUGAGUAACACGUAAAGAACCUGCCUCAUAGACUGGGACAACUAUUGGAAACGAUAGCUAAUACCGGAUAACAGUAUUUCUCGCAUGAGAGAUAUUUAAAAGUUGGUUAUGCCAACACUAUGAGAUGGCUUUGCGGUUCAUUAGCUAGUUGGUGGGGUAAAGGCCCACCAAGGCGACGAUGCAUAGCCGACCUGAGAGGGUGAUCGGCCACACUGGGACUGAGACACGGCCCAGACUCCUACGGGAGGCAGCAGUAGGGAAUCUUCCGCAAUGGGCGAAAGCCUGACGGAGCAACGCCGCGUGAGUGAAGAAGGAUUUCGGUUCGUAAAGCUCUGUUGUUAGGGAAGAAUGGAUAUGUAGUAACUAUACAUGUAAGAGACGGUACCUAACCAGAAAGCAACGGCUAACUACGUG